Molecule: transfer RNA, 76 nt
Filed under: Hyphomonas sp.
Lineage: Bacteria; Pseudomonadati; Pseudomonadota; Alphaproteobacteria; Hyphomonadales; Hyphomonadaceae
Also listed under: 22 other names
Description: tRNA-Asn
Rfam family: tRNA
About the family: Transfer RNA (tRNA) molecules are approximately 80 nucleotides in length. Their secondary structure includes four short double-helical elements and three loops (D, anti-codon, and T loops).
Source: RNAcentral
UCCGCGAUAGCUCAGUUGGUAGAGCGUUCGACUGUUAAUCGAAUGGUCGCAGGUUCGAGUCCUGCUCGCGGAGCCA